UGUACAAUCAUGUCCAAAAUAUGCCACCUUCAGGCAGCUGGGUUGGACAUAAUACAUUGUGCAACCACAACAAACUACCUCUCUGAUUUAAGUUAAAUGUUGAAGCUGUCAAGUUCAAAAAUGUUUUCCACAGAUAUAACACGUUGAAUUUAAGUGUAUGAUAAUACAUGUGGUCUCUUUGAAACAGACAGAUUUAAUUUCGUGAUCAUUUAUACUUCAUUCAGACGUUGCUACCCGCUUAUCUUUGUCCAUUCCGGCGUCCUACAUUAGAACUUCCGGUUUUCACGUGAUGUUUGUAAACUUUGAGGGCCUAUCUGUGACUCAUGUACUGUGUUGAAAUACUAAGUGCACGUUUAAGUAUGCGGUUGAUUUUAUAAUGGAUAUAUUUUCGUAAGGUUGCCAACGUUGGCGCUUUAGACCUUUAUAAAUUAUCUUUACCAACGUUAGUAAAAUGGGAGAAGAUGGAAGUGGUUCGCCAUUGCUUCUGUUGAUAAUGGCGGUGGUCGCCCACCUGGCUCUUAUUGCUAUUGUUGUGUACUACGCGUGUUGUAGGAACGGGUGCACGUGCAAAAUAACUAUUCAAGACCAUGCAGAGUCGUCGACGUCACCGGUUGUAUCACUUUCAGACGGAGACAAUUUGGUGGAAAGAGGACCCGUAUCAAACUGGUGGCAGACGACGCUGUUAACUCGCGUGCGCGCGCAUCUAACGCGCUCUCGGAAUUCAACGGUAGAUUCAGACGACGCGGAAUCUCAUCUGCCGCCGCCGUAUGGUGACGUAAUGACAUUUUCGGCGUUAGUGGAUGGCCAUGACAACGACGGUGCGGACUUACCGAGCUACAACGAGUGUAUAGAACGUGAGGUGAGAUGGCAACGUAACCCACACACGGGAACAUACGAACGCGAAAAGCCGCCAAAAUACGAGGAGGUCGUUAAUCAUUGACGUCGCAUACGUCAGAAGCAGUGCGCAAUAAUUCUUAAUUAAACUAAAUUGGGAAUAAAUACUUGAUUGCAAAGAUCUAUUUAUAUCAUAAAUAAACGAAUGUUCUAUGUUUACCCCGAUUCCGUUUGACGAGGUGUGAAACAACAUCAUUGAAAUGAUAUCAUCAGAUUACAGAUAUAUACUUGUAGGUAGGCCUACACAUUCAUCAAUGUUGUAAGACACAAUAUAAAGUCUACGCAUGCUACGUAUUGCAAUUGCUAAGAGAUAUUGUCACACUGUGCUAUUGUAUACAAGAACGUCUUUCAUAUUUGAGCCUUGUUCUGAGAAAAAUGGGCUUAAUACAUGUGCGUAAAGUGUCAUCCCAGAUUAGCCUAAUCAGGGACGACACUUUCCGCCUAAAGUUGAUUUUCGGUAAGGAGGGACUACCUUGAAACUAAAAAUACCAUAAAAGCGGAAAGUGUCGUCCCUGAUUAGCCUGUGCGGACUGCACAAGCUAAUCUGGGACCACAAUUUGCGCACAUGCAUUAAGCCCAGUUUUCUCAGAACACGACUCAUUUAAUCAAAAGUUGGUACACUUGAUAUUGCUUUACAUGUAAACAUCACCCCCAGGACACCUUAAUAGAUGUCUCGAUGUCCGUCAACUAGAGAAGAACUAAAUUGUGGUGUCUACGCAAAUCACAAUAGCACAAUAAUGGUAACAAGUUUUAUUCAGUGUUGUGUGUAUUUAUUACAACACGAGGCAAUAGAACUACUUAGUCAGUGCAUACUAGGGAAAGGGACUCUGGUCAUAUGGUUUUCUAUUGUUGUUACUGAUUAUUAUCAACUAGCCCAUGAUACAUGCAUGCUGGAAUUAGAGGACCGGUAAUAUUACCCGCUUAUUAAUAACCGCAUACUGUUAAGCUACCACGUUGAUUGUGUUUGUAUUGUUAUACAUAUGAUAUAGUUUAGAAUUGAUUCGUUCUGCUAUGGCAUCCGAUACAGUUUGUUUUAUUUGCAAUGUUAUACUGUUUAUCAAAUUUUGACAGUAACAGAGCAUUGCCAUAGGUGAAGCAAAGACCUAUAAAAUACAUGUAUUCUAUAGGUCUUUGGGUCAAGUUAGAUUGAGGCGGAAACAAACUACGCCUUCCCCACUCCACGAAAAAUGUGUUGUUUUUGUCUAAGUUCAAUUUUUUCAAUAUAUGUGAAUAAGGCUUACUUAUAGCCAAAGUCCAAUAAAAUGUAUUCUAUAGAUCUUUGCCAAGGCACAUUUUUUAUUUGAUGAAUUUGUUGAGUCAAAUUUUGUAAUUUUAUUAAGAAUGUUUUGUGUAGUUUGUCACUGUGGCUAAAUUGCUCCUUUAAAAUUAUCUGCCGGCAUUUAUAUCUAAAAAACAAUUAGAGAUACAGGGUAAGUGCAGAGUACAAGCGACAUUGCUCUGCCUUCCAUAUUGUUAGAGUUAUUUCCCUUUGUUGAUAUUUUUUAAUUUUUAUUUUUAAAAUUUUAAUUUUGCCCAGGGCAUAUCUUGAAAACUAUGAGUCAACAACAUGAAAUUUCAUAAGUGGAUUGAUGUCAUCAAAGGGUAGUGCAAUAGACAAGAACCAUAACUCCUGCUUUUAUGAUUGCACAUGCACAGUUAUUGCCCUUUGUUAAUUUGUAUACUUGCAUGUUCAUCAAUUUUGCAAAUUAUAUGAGGUACCAACAUUAAACUUAAUAGGCAGGAAGCUUGCUUUAAGUGAAAUUGUAGUACACAAGAAUUGAAAAACGAUAUCCUUUACUUCCAUGAUUGCACAGUUGCACAUCUACCUUAUGUCUUUCAGGCACUACAGUGACAGUUCUAGUUUUCAUUGGAUGUAUAAUUGGUCAUGCUUGUUUGUGUAACAGUUGUUCAAACACAGACGUUUAGCUGGAAUGCCGUUAAGUUUUGAUUGUACAGAGACUAAUAUUUUCAUUGAAUCGGUACUUUAAAAAUUAAAUGAACGCAUUAAAUUCACACAGUGUCCUGUAAAUGCUAGAGAGCUAUAGCAUUUGAUGGUUGGAAUCAAAUCACUUUUGUAACAUUCUGAAAAGUAACAUUCUGAAAACAAUAUUGUUAAUUGUUGUCUCAUGCCAAUAUACAAUAUCCACAUGUCCUUUGAAUACCAAGUAAUACACUGUGAUAUACCAAAUAUGCUAAUAUGUGUUUGUGGUAGACUGCCGUUUGAGACAUGACAUUAUCUUUUGCAUUGGUGCAUCAAUCUCAUAUUAUUGUUAUCUGUAAUUUGAUGUAAAUUUAAAAUGCCUAUUAUAGUUUUGGUUAUUCAGUUCAUAAAAUGUAGAACACAUAGAUACAAAGAUCUAGAUAAAACAGCCAAAAAGUUAA
Molecule: long non-coding RNA, 3276 nt
Organism: Dreissena polymorpha
Lineage: Eukaryota; Metazoa; Mollusca; Bivalvia; Myida; Dreissenidae
Exons: 2
Source: RefSeq, a predicted model, not a curated record